Molecule: ribosomal RNA, 492 nt
Filed under: uncultured bacterium
Lineage: Bacteria
Description: partial 16S ribosomal RNA
Rfam family: Bacterial small subunit ribosomal RNA
Source: RNAcentral
AGUGAACGCUGGCGGUAGGCCUAACACAUGCAAGUCGAACGGUAGCACAGUAAGAGCUUGCUCUUACGGGUGGCGAGUGGCGGACGGGUGAGGAAUACAUCGGAAUCUACUUUUUCGUGGGGGAUAACGUAGGGAAACUUACGCUAAUACCGCAUACGACCUACGGGUGAAAGCAGGGGAUCUUCGGACCUUGCGCGAUUGAAUGAGCCGAUGUCGGAUUAGCUAGUUGGCGGGGUAAAGGCCCACCAAGGCGACGAUCCGUAGCUGGUCUGAGAGGAUGAUCAGCCACACUGGAACUGAGACACGGUCCAGACUCCUACGGGAGGCAGCAGUGGGGAAUAUUGGACAAUGGGCGCAAGCCUGAUCCAGCCAUACCGCGUGGGUGAAGAAGGCCUUCGGGUUGUAAAGCCCUUUUGUUGGGAAAGAAAAGCAGCAGGUUAAUACCCCGCUGUUCUGACGGUACCCAAAGAAUAAGCACCGGCUAACCUCGUG